This 253-nucleotide ribosomal RNA is filed under the name uncultured bacterium. Its description in RNAcentral is "partial 16S ribosomal RNA". It matches the Rfam family "Bacterial small subunit ribosomal RNA", at positions 524 to 776 of the family's 1533-position model. The record is from RNAcentral.
AACGUAGGACACAAGCGUUAUCCGGAUUUACUGGGCGUAAAGGGCGUGUAGGCGGAUCAAUAAGUCUGAUGUGAAAGCCCACGGCUCAACCGUGGAGGGUCAUUGGAAACUGGGGGACUUGAGUGCAGAAGAGGAGAGUGGAAUUCCACGUGUAGCGGUGAAAUGCGUAGAGAUGUGGAGGAACACCAGUGGCGAAGGCGACUCUCUGGUCUGUAACUGACGCUGAGGCGCGAAAGCGUGGGGAGCGAACAGG